UCGUUUAAAAAAGUAACUGAUUACUAGAAAUCCAGUGUUUAAAGUGAAGACCUUUGGAACUGUCAUAACAACUUUUCUGAGUACAGAUCCUGGAAUCCUAGAUUUGGAAACCCAGACUAAUGCCGAAACAGCUUUUGUUACUGAAAAUCUCUAAUGAAGGACACUCUAAAGCUUCCCUAGGCCACUUGUCCCACUGAUCAACUGUUCGGAGAGUCAGUAAAUGAAGUGUGCCAGAGGAACGUAAAGAGAACCUAAGAAUCCCAGCUCCAGAAGGGGAGGAUUAACGCCAUGUAGACAUUUCAGAAGACACUCACUAGGCUGACCUCAGAGGACCUCUUCACAAACCUUGGUUUACUGGAUGUGCUGAGAGACUGGAAGCUCAAGCUUCAGAUUUCCAACUGUUCAUCUGAGGAAAAAGAGUCUUUUAUCACACACACUGGACAACUGUCUAGGCAAAUGAAAUCAGAUGCUUGAAACUGAAGAUGGAGAAUAGAGAAUACCAACUCUUUUCCCAGAGUGUGAC
Alligator mississippiensis (American alligator) is the source of this 523-nucleotide long non-coding RNA. RefSeq lists it as uncharacterized. The transcript is spliced from 4 exons. The record is from RefSeq and is a predicted model, not a curated record. NCBI's taxonomy places the organism in Eukaryota, Metazoa, Chordata, Crocodylia, Alligatoridae.